Molecule: unclassified non-coding RNA, 1312 nt
Filed under: Hevea brasiliensis (rubber tree)
Lineage: Eukaryota; Viridiplantae; Streptophyta; Magnoliopsida; Malpighiales; Euphorbiaceae
Source: RNAcentral
AAUUGAAUAUCAAACAUUUUUUUCAUACAGUUAAAAGAAACUGAGUUAGCCAAUUGGUAAUGUCUCAAGUGAUGAUAUACAUACAUGGCUUAUAAAAUAAAGAGCUACUAUACAGCCUUCGCUGUAAAGAUGGCGAUUUGUCCUCUCUAACGUAGCAAAUGUAGAGGUAAGGAGGCUUUCGUCAUGUGGAAGAACUCUCUGUUUUACUAGUACUAGAUGUCGAAGUGAAACUAACAGGGCUCACCGGAUGAUCCUUCACGAUCAAGCUAAGAAUUUCAGGUCUUGCGUAGUGUCCAACAACAUCAAAAUCAAACUUGGCUCGAACAAUUUCUCCAAGAUCUAGAUCAGCUGAGAUGAGUGCCUCCCCGUCAUAAUUUGGUCCUGCUAGCACUGCCCCUGAUGGUGAAAUAAUUACACUACCACCAGCACAAACAACGGAAUCUGGUGUAAGGUCUUCUUCUGUGCCAGAAAAAACAUAUUCUGGUGGAGGUGGAUAAUCUUUCCUUCUACAGAAUUGAUUGGCCGAUAAAACAAAACAACCCCCCUCCAAUGCAAUGUGGGUCAUUGAUGCCUGCCACACUUCCCUAGCAUCAGCUGUAGGUGCACAAUAUAUCUCAAUGCCUUUAGCAUACAUUGCGGUCCUUAGAAGUGGCAUUCUGUUCUCCCAACAUAUUGCAGCACCUAUUUUUCCAACAGGAGUGUCAUAAACUGGAAUUGUUGAUCCAUCCCCAAAACCCCAGAUUAUCCGCUCUAACGCUGUUGGCAUUAUCUUCCGAUGCUUCCCAAGGUAGUGACCCUGAGAGUCGAAGAAAAGCACUGUGCAAUAUAGCGUGUAUCCAUCUCUCUCAAUUACACCCAUCACCAAGUACACCUUGUAUUUUCCAGCCAUUGCUGCCAGGAGAUCAACCUCAGGGCCUGGCACAUCAAUGGCAGAAGCAUGAUAUUUGCGAAACUCCUCCUUCCCCUUAUCUGUCCGAUUCCCAAUUGACACACCAAAAGUUGAUCCACGUGGAUAACCACCAAUAAAUGCUUCAGGAAACACCACCAACUGAGCACCAUAGGAAGCCGCUUCAGCAAGAAGCCUCUCAGCCUUAUCAAGAGUGGCAGGGGUAUCAUAGAAGACGGUAGAAGCUUGAACUACGGUAGCACGGACAGUGGAGGAAGAGGAAUCACCACCCAUUUCUACUUCCGCGAACAACGGCCCUUCGUUCACUACUGGGUUUGGGACCAAAGCCAUCGGAUUUUCUGCUUCUCAAUUUGCAGAUAGUGUUUUUCUGUACUAAUCUCCUAUAAUUGGGUUAAGAGAUUUCUA